Molecule: long non-coding RNA, 1155 nt
Filed under: Bos taurus (domestic cattle)
Lineage: Eukaryota; Metazoa; Chordata; Mammalia; Artiodactyla; Bovidae
Description: long non-coding RNA NONBTAT011069
Source: RNAcentral
AAUAGAAAUAACACUUGUUUUCUUAAAAAUUGCCUAAAAGCAUCAUGCAGAACAAAUAAAUAUGUACAAAUCUUAUUUCUUUGAGAUCUGUGUGAUUGCAUCUAGGAAUGUCAGGAAUGCACCAGAGUUUGUGGUUUAGCAUCUGCAGACAUUGAAAUAAUAAAUGGUAAAACAGCUCUUUUGGGAAAAGAUCUGGGUCAUCAUCAUCUUGAUCUUUUAUGCCCUUCCUUUUUUUUAGUUUUCACAUCUGGAAUAUCCUCUUUUUGGUGGUAAAUAACCUUUGUCCCAUGAAAAGAGUGAUAUUUUCACAACAGAAAAUAGCCUCUGGCAGUCCCUUUGAAUGUGUUCCUUAUGACUUACAACAUCCAACUUUUGGGGGAUUGCUUGAGUUGGGCUUCAUGAAUGACCAGUUUCUCAUAUCACUACAUGCCUUACAUUCUAGCAUAUCAAAAUGGAUAAAGUAUUUUUGAAAUAGAUCCAGUGUUUAAAUUCUUUUCUUAUUUAAAUCCCCAAAAAAUGUUCUACUGUAUUUCCAUUAUUUUCUUUUACAAGGAACAUCGUGAUGGACAGCUUCCACUGAAAGUUGUUUUCAUAGUUCAGAGUAUUCCUGUAUUUCUUUUGGCUGGAAUCCCAGCAGAGAAACUAUUGGAUUAAAUGGUUUGAUGGGAUUUAAGAAUGCCUAUUUUUCCGUACUUUAUUAAUAUUGUAUACUUGGGAGGGGGGCCUUUUCCACUCGAAUAAAAGGAUAAGCAUGUUGUCUUAUUUUGCACUUAUUUGAUUAUUGAGACUAUUUUUCUUACAUGCUUCAAAUUCUUCUUAUGCUUUUGUUCGUUUAUUAUUAGAAUCUUAGUGUUUUUCUUGUGAAUGGAAUAAGUUCUUUAAAUAGAAAAUAUAUUAGUCUUUGAUCAUUAGAUUUUCCCGUUUGUCCCUUUAAUUUUUGUAAUUAUCUUUUUAGUAUAUAAAAGUGUUUGUGAAUGUAAAAAAGUUAAGAAAUGCAUGAUUUCUUUGAGUAAAAACUAGAAAAGAGACAUAAUAGCAAAAGGAAAAUUCGUUCAUUGCUCCAUCAUUCUAAUAAAACCACUGUCAACACUUUGAAAUGGGUAUAAAUUUGAGUCAGUAUUCUGAAUACAGAAUUUUAAAACCCUGUAAUUUUUU